GCCUUGCUAGCUCAAUGGCUAGAGCGUGAGACUUUUAAAAAGAGUAUCUCAAGGUUGCGGGUUCGACCCCCGCGUGAGGCU
Molecule: non-coding RNA, 81 nt
Organism: Trichophaea hybrida
Lineage: Eukaryota; Fungi; Ascomycota; Pezizomycetes; Pezizales; Pyronemataceae
Source: the annotation of a GenBank genome assembly